This 339-nucleotide ribosomal RNA is filed under the name uncultured bacterium. RNAcentral's name for it is "bacterial SSU rRNA". It matches the Rfam family "Bacterial small subunit ribosomal RNA", at positions 28 to 334 of the family's 1533-position model. The record is from RNAcentral.
GAUGAACGCUGGCGGCGUGCUUAACACAUGCAAGUCGAACGGGGGCGGCGGCGAUGAAAUGAUUAGCUUGCUAAGAAUGGAAAAGCGGCCGUCCUAGUGGCGGACGGGUGAGUAACGCGUGGGCAACCUGCCCUGUACAGGGGGAUAACACUUAGAAAUAGGUGCUAAUACCGCAUGAGCGCACAAAGGCGCAUGCCUAUGUGCGGGAAGCCCGCGAGGGCGGUACGGGAUGGGCCCGCGUCUGAUUAGCCAGUUGGCAGGGUAACGGCCUACCAAAGCGACGAUCAGUAGCCGGCCUGAGAGGGUGGACGGCCACAUUGGGACUGAGACACGGCCCAA